Molecule: non-coding RNA, 485 nt
Organism: Zonotrichia albicollis (white-throated sparrow)
Lineage: Eukaryota; Metazoa; Chordata; Aves; Passeriformes; Passerellidae
Source: RefSeq, a predicted model, not a curated record
CAAAGGUUGAGCUGGCUUGUGUGCAUUUCAAAUGCUGGUCUAAUUUGUAUCUAUAGGACAACAAGGAUUAAAUGGAGAUAAUCCCUUUACAAUGGUGUAAUUGGUACAGGGCUAGCAAGCUGGAUCAGCUAGAACAUAUAGCUGGACACUGAGAGAGGAGCAGGAUCUGUUCUGUUUAGGCUCACCCCACACUGUGGGGCCCCACCUGACAUUUGUCCCAAUGCCUUGGUUGUCAGGUGAUGCUACUGCAAGGCUGUGGAUCAUUGCAUGAACCAAGCAACGACUGAGUGUAGCCUCAGGAUGGGGAGGUGAGGACAUUGUGCAUCUCUGUGAGACUGCUUGGUGCAGGAUCUCCCAAUCAUGCAUGACAGAAAUGGAAAGCUGUCACUUGAUAGCUGCCUGGAGGAACAGGUCUUACUGAUCCAACUGACCGUGAAGCUGAAGAGGUUAAAAAUUAGCCCAGCAAUAAUAUAUGGGACUGUUUG